Molecule: ribosomal RNA, 324 nt
Filed under: uncultured eukaryote
Lineage: Eukaryota
Description: partial 18S ribosomal RNA
Rfam family: Eukaryotic small subunit ribosomal RNA
Source: RNAcentral
CCCUUAGAUGUUCUGGGCUGCACGCGCGCUACACUGAAGCUAUCAACACGUUUUCCCUCCCUGAGAAGGGCGGGUAACCUUUUGAAUCAGCUUCGUGGUAGGGAUCGGGGCUUGCAAUUGUUCCCCGUGAACCAGGAAUUCCUAGUAGACGCGAGUCAUAAGCUCGCAUCGUUUAAGUCCCUGCCCUUUGUACACACCGCCCGUCGCUACUACCGAUUGAACGUUUUAGUGAGGCAUUUGGACCGACGCAUCUCAGUUUAACCGCUGGUUUGUGUUGGAAAGACUUCCAAACUUGAGCGUUUAGAGGAAGUAAAAGUCGUAACA